CCGCCACUCCCAGAAGCUCACGCAGACAGAGCCCUACCCCCAGAAGCAGACAGAUAGACAGACACAGCCCCACUCCCAGAAGCUCACACAGGCAGACAAAGCCCCGCCCCCGAAAACUCACACAAUCUUUUCACAGCCCGACCACGCCCAGGCGCUCGCACGGACAGACAGAGCCCCACCCCGAGAAGCGGGGACAGACGGACAGACACAGCCCCGCCACCCCGCGACGCGCACACACGCAGCCGGGCGGCGGGAAGCGGCUGGCGCGGGGCAGGGCGGGCGGCUGUUUUGCAAGGCCGGAGAGUCCCGGAGCAGCUGGGGCCGCAAGCGGCGAAGGCGGGUCCCUCCUGCCUGUCCGUGAAGCUCGGAAGGACCCGCCCGCGGUGCCCCGGGGCACCGGCCGGGUGUUGCCGCCGCUCGCCCCUUUCCGGGACCACAUGACGUGCCCCCGGGACGGGACAUGGCUGGGCCGGGGCACCGCUCCGCGGGGAAGCCGCUGCUGGUGAAAAUAGUGAUGGCCGGGGAGUCCUGCGUGGGGAAAACCUCCAUCGUGAGGAGGUACACGGAGCCCAGCCCGGCCGGGCCGCCCCCCGCCGCCUCUUACAUCGCCACCGUCGGCAUUGAUUUUAAAGUAAAAACAAUAACAUUUAAUGAUACAACAGUGAAACUUCAAAUAUGGGAUACUGCUGGUCAGGAACAAUUCCAUACAAUUAGUACUAGUUAUUUUCGUGGAGCACAUGGCUUUGUUCUGGUUUAUGACAUCACAAACUCAGACAGUUUUCAAGGUAUAACAAGCUGGAUGAAAGAUAUACACGAGAAAGCAGAUGACGAGGUGGAUAUAGUGCUAUUGGGUAACAAGUGUGAUAAGGAGACAGAACGUGUAAUUCCAAAGCAUAACGGGGAAAAGGACUUCCUGCUGUUGAGGUGGAAGGAACUCAGAUUCUCUCUUUUUCUGCCCUCCAUGGACCAACUGUCUGCAGCUCUUCUUCUAUGCGCUACACCUCCCUUUGGGGAGAGGCUGCCCUGGCAACUUGAAGUAGGCACUGGCUUUGCUGCAGCUUGCAUGGGAAUAUGGUGUACCUUUUUUUGAAACCAGUGCUACAGAUAACAUAAAUAUUGAAGAUGCCUUUUCAGUAUUGGUCAAAGAAAUAAUGAACAAGAAUUCCUACGUAUUGUGUGACUUAGAUGUGGUGGAUCUAAAUGAAAGUAAGAAAAAGAGAACUUGCUGCCAAUUGUGAAAUGUCACCUGCACUUCUGUCUGUCUUCAGGAAAUGUUAACUAUUUCAUAGGAAUACACAAAAGUGUUAAAAUGAAUUUGAUUACUUAGGCAAUUUCUGUAUGUUACAGAAAUCUUGUGCUGUAAAUAUUGACUUUACAAUGUAUACAGUACUGUAUAUACAUGAAUGUUCUAGUUUUUAAAGUGAAGUUAAAUCAAUUAUUUGUAUUUGGGACCUUUUAUGACCAGCACAGUGGGACUAUUCAUAUAUGCCAGUGUUUGCAGGAAUGGGACCUAAAUGUACAAUCCUUCUCUUGUUGAAGUUAAUAUCUGCCUUAAUUUUUUUUCUUUGUCAGUCUCUUUACAUAGUAAACCCUACAACAAGGGCCUCUCACUCAUGCAACCCUCUGAUCUAAAUGACCAAUUUAAAAUAUUCCCAAGGUUUCAAAUACAGUCUGAAUUACGUUUAAAUUAGAAGCGGCAAAGAGUCCUAUGGCACCUUAUAGACUAACAGAUUUAUUGGAUCAUAAGCUUUCAUGGGUGAAUACCCACUUCGUUGGAAGCGUGUAGUAGAAAUUUCCAGAGGCAGGUAUAAAUAUGCAAGCAAGAAUCAGGCUAGGGAUAACAAGGUUAGUUCAAUCAGGGAGGAUGAGGUCCUCUUCUAGCACUUGAGGUGUGAACACCAAGGGAGGAGAAACUGCUUUUGCAGUUGGCUAGACAUUCACAGUCUUUGUUUAAUCCUGAGCUGAUGGUGUCAAAUUUGCAAAUGAACUGAAGCUCUGAGCUGUAGCUCACGAAAGCUUAUGCUCUAAUAAAUUUGUUAGUCUCUAAGGUGCCACAAGUACUCUUUUUCUUUUUACGGAUACAGACCAACACGGCUGCUACUCUGAAACCUGAAGCUCAGCAGUUUCUCUUUGAAGUCUGGUCCCGAAGUUUUUUUGCUGCAGGAUGGCUACCUUUAACUCUGCUAUUGUGUGUCCAGGGAGGUUGAAGUGUUCUCCUACAGGUUUUUGUAUAUUGCCAUUCCUAAGAUCUGAGACAUCAUCAAUUAAAUUAGAGACCAUAACUGAAAUUCUGCCGGUCCCUUGGGUGGUCACUUAACAUACUUUUCUGGAUAGUUUGUUUUUGUUCUUUGGGGGUUUUUUG
Molecule: RNA transcript, 2362 nt
Organism: Caretta caretta (loggerhead turtle)
Lineage: Eukaryota; Metazoa; Chordata; Testudines; Cheloniidae
Gene name: ras-related protein Rab-10
Source: RefSeq, a predicted model, not a curated record